ACCCUCUCUCGCUCUCUCCCUCUCUCCCUCUCUCCCUCUCUUCCCUCUGCAAACUUGACGCCGAGAGCACAUCGCCAUUCUUCGACGAAUCUUGUCGACAACCAAACACCCUCAACGGCGCCAUUUAGCCCCUCUCCACGACUUUAAACAAAAAAAGCAAGAACGAACCUUCAAUUCGAACCCACGCCGUGCACCCAGUUUUGGUUGGUUAACUUUCCAACGGUGGAAACAACGCGGGGAAAGUUUUCCAGUUUUCCGACGGAGAUCCGGCGGCUUCGAGCCGUUUUCCGGCCACGUCAGGACCCCGUGAUGGUAUAUUUCUCUUCCUCUCCUUUUGGGCUUCAAAUUGGUAUGUUAGAUUGCUAGUUUUAGUUGAGUAUCGAAGCUAGGAGGAGCCGGGAAAGUUUUCUGGCUAAGUUGCCCAGAUUCCGGUGGUUGCAAUGGCAACCGGCCGGAGAAGAGAGAAGGAAAAAAAAAAGGGCCCAAGCCCAAGCUGGCCCAAAUCAUUGGGCCGUUUUAGCAGCUCAGCUUUCAUAUCGAGGAGGAUUCUUGGCAAAUCUUGUUGUAGACUAUUACCCCUGAUGGUAUAAUUUUCACCCUAUGUUACUGUACUAUGCUUAUGUUCUGACAUCACGAGUGAAAUGGAUUCAUUCCCUCUCACAGUGCACUUUUAUAUUUAGGCAUCUUUAGGUUUAAAUUUAUUCACAUUUUCCACAUCACUAC
Molecule: small RNA, 723 nt
Filed under: Malus domestica (apple)
Lineage: Eukaryota; Viridiplantae; Streptophyta; Magnoliopsida; Rosales; Rosaceae
Description: sRNA MD17G0205700
Source: RNAcentral